This is a non-coding RNA of Lachnospiraceae bacterium M18-1, 196 nucleotides long. The record is from Rfam. Lineage: Bacteria; Bacillati; Bacillota; Clostridia; Lachnospirales; Lachnospiraceae.
GAGAACUGAAUACACGAAUGGUCGAAUGAGAGGGUAACGCCUCGAAAGGCAUCCUUAAUACUCCGGCCUGCAUUAUGUGAGUAAACACAGAAGUGUGGGAAGCCCGGUGAAGUCGGCAGAGAGAUACCGUAACAGUCAGGCUGACGAAAGCUGUCCAGAGGUGGAUGGUGUAUCCCAUAUGCCGGAGGUCUAUAAA